GUUUAUGGCCAUAGCACCCUGACUGUCCCGAGUCUCGUGUGAUCUUAGAAGCUUAACAGGGUUGGACCUGGUUAGUAUCUGGUUGGGAGACGGACACAAAGCUCUGUGUUUGUGUGUA
Ursus americanus (American black bear) is the source of this 118-nucleotide ribosomal RNA. The record is from Ensembl. Lineage: Eukaryota; Metazoa; Chordata; Mammalia; Carnivora; Ursidae.